Molecule: ribosomal RNA, 646 nt
Filed under: uncultured Bacilli bacterium
Lineage: Bacteria; Bacillati; Bacillota; Bacilli
Description: bacterial SSU rRNA
Rfam family: Bacterial small subunit ribosomal RNA
Source: RNAcentral
UUGACGUUAGCGGCGGACGGGUGAGUAACACGUGGGUAACCUACCCAUAAGACUGGGAUAACUUCGGGAAACCGGAGCUAAUACCGGAUAAUAUUUCGAACCGCAUGGUUCGAUAGUGAAAGAUGGCCCUGCUAUCACUUAUAGAUGGACCUGCGCCGUAUUAGCUAGUUGGUAAGGUAACGGCUUACCAAGGCAACGAUACGUAGCCGACCUGAGAGGGUGAUCGGCCACACUGGAACUGAGACACGGUCCAGACUCCUACGGGAGGCAGCAGUAGGGAAUCUUCCGCGAUGGGCGAAAGCCUGACGGAGCAACGCCGCGUGAGUGAUGAAGGUCUUCGGAUCGUAAAACUCUGUUAUUAGGGAAGAACAAACGUGUAAGUAACUGUGCACGUCUUGACGGUACCUAAUCAGAAAGCCACGGCUAACUACGUGCCAGCAGCCGCGGUAAUACGUAGGUGGCAAGCGUUAUCCGGAAUUAUUGGGCGUAAAGCGCGCGUAGGCGGUUUUUUAAGUCUGAUGUGAAAGCCCACGGCUCAACCGUGGAGGGUCAUUGGAAACUGGGAAACUUGAGUGCAGAAGAGGAAAGUGGAAUUCCAUGUGUAGCGGUGAAAUGCGCAGAGAUAUGGAGGAACACCAGUGGCGAA